Austrofundulus limnaeus is the source of this 674-nucleotide long non-coding RNA. RefSeq lists it as uncharacterized. The record is from RefSeq and is a predicted model, not a curated record. NCBI's taxonomy places the organism in Eukaryota, Metazoa, Chordata, Actinopteri, Cyprinodontiformes, Rivulidae. The transcript is spliced from 3 exons.
UUGGAUACUCUGGCUGGAGAUAUAAGUGCCGAUGUGGGUCAGCUGGUCCGGACAAAAAAAAAAAGGGUCUAUCAGCUGGUAGCUUCUGGAGCGGCGAAACUAACUGAACAAAUCGCCUCUAAAUCAUCUGACGCUCCUCCCACACCCCGCUGCUGCUGCUUCUCGUUCUGUCUGUCCAGCAUCAAGAUGCGUGCGUUUUGAGAUUUUUGGAGGUGCGCAACGCGUUUGGUGUGAACGUAGCAUAAGGCUCAAAGUUAUCUGGCAAGCAGUAAAAACUCUACAGGAAGAAGAAACUAAAACGAAGCAAAAUUUGAAUGGAGAUUGGCGGCAAUGAAGAGCUGGAGAAGUGCAAUCCUACAGCAACUUUUCACCAUUUUUCCUAUUUUCCACGUAGAGGAACUCAUCCUAUUUCCCCCUCAAACCACUAUGUCAGCCUCUGUCUACAACAUGUCACGUGACAAAGUACCCGGCUGUUCGACUUUGAGAAUAGUAAGUAUUUGACACUGAGUAGACUGAAGUGGUAGGAGGAGGCAAGUGAUGAAAAUCUGAUGUCUAUCUUUAGCCAUUCAGUUCAAAGUGUGUCAUGAGGAUUGCAAAAGAGGCUCGAGCUAAAAUAAAGACAAAAACUGAAACAUACUGUAUGCAGUCUUUGGAAAUGUUGAUUAAAAUGGAAC